Molecule: ribosomal RNA, 253 nt
Filed under: uncultured bacterium
Lineage: Bacteria
Description: partial 16S ribosomal RNA
Rfam family: Bacterial small subunit ribosomal RNA
Source: RNAcentral
UACAGAGGGGGCGAGCGUUGUUCGGAAUUACUGGGCGUAAAGGGCGCGUAGGCGGCCCGCUAAGUCGAACGUGAAAUCCCCAGGCUCAACCUGGGAACUGCGUCCGAUACUGGCAGGCUUGAAUCCGGGAGAGGGAUGUGGAAUUCCAGGUGUAGCGGUGAAAUGCGUAGAUAUCUGGAGGAACACCGGUGGCGAAGGCGGCAUCCUGGACCGGUAUUGACGCUGAGGCGCGAAAGCUAGGGGAGCAAACGGG